RNAcentral lists this ribosomal RNA (425 nucleotides) under uncultured bacterium. RNAcentral describes it as "bacterial SSU rRNA". It matches the Rfam family "Bacterial small subunit ribosomal RNA", at positions 354 to 796 of the family's 1533-position model. The record is from RNAcentral.
GUGGGGAAUAUUGGACAAUGGGCGCAAGCCUGAUCCAGCAAUGCCGCGUGGGUGAAGAAGGUCUUCGGAUCGUAAAGCCCUUUCGACAGGGACGAUGAUGACGGUACCUGUAGAAGAAGCCCCGGCUAACUUCGUGCCAGCAGCCGCGGUAAUACGAAGGGGGCUAGCGUUACUCGGAAUUACUGGGCGUAAAGGGCGCGUAGGCGGCUCUGUUAGUCAGGCGUGAAAUUCCUGGGCUUAACCUGGGGACUGCGCUUGAUACUGCAGGGCUUGAGGCCGAGAGAGGGUGGUGGAAUUCCCAGUGUAGAGGUGAAAUUCGUAGAUAUUGGGAAGAACACCGGUGGCGAAGGCGACCACCUGGCUCGGUUCUGACGCUGAGGCGCGACAGCGUGGGGAGCAAACAGGAUUAGAAACCCGUGUAGUCC